RNAcentral lists this ribosomal RNA (409 nucleotides) under uncultured bacterium. RNAcentral's name for it is "bacterial SSU rRNA". It matches the Rfam family "Bacterial small subunit ribosomal RNA", at positions 355 to 776 of the family's 1533-position model. The record is from RNAcentral.
UGGGGAAUAUUGCACAAUGGGCGAAAGCCUGAUGCAGCGACGCCGCGUGAGGGAUGACGGCCUUCGGGUUGUAAACCUCUUUCAGCAGGGACGAAGCGCAAGUGACGGUACCUGCAGAAGAAGCACCGGCCAACUACGUGCCAGCAGCCGCGGUAAUACGUAGGGUGCGAGCGUUGUCCGGAAUUACUGGGCGUAAAGAGCUCGUAGGCGGUUUGUCGCGUCGUCUGUGAAAACCCGCAGCUCAACUGCGGGCUUGCAGGCGAUACGGGCAGACUUGAGUACUGCAGGGGAGACUGGAAUUCCUGGUGUAGCGGUGAAAUGCGCAGAUAUCAGGAGGAACACCGGUGGCGAAGGCGGGUCUCUGGGCAGUAACUGACGCUGAGGAGCGAAAGCGUGGGUAGCGAACAGG